CAUGCAGUCGAGCGGAUGAAGGAGCUUGCUCCUGGAUUCAGCGGCGGACGGGUGAUUUAUGCAUAGGAAUCUGCCUGGUAGUGGGGGACAACGUUUCGAAAGGAACGCUAAUACCGCAUACGUCCUACGGGAGAAAGCAGGGGACCUUCGGGCCUUGCGCUAUCAGAUGAGCCUAGGUCGGAUUAGCUAGUUGGUGAGGUAAUGGCUCACCAAGGCGACAAUCCGUAACUGGUCUGAGAGGAUGAUCAGUCACACUGGAACUGAGACACGGUCCAGACUCCUACGGGAGGCAGCAGUGGGGAAUAUUGGACAAUGGGCAAAAGCCUGAUCCAGCCAUGCCCCGUGGUGAACAAAGUCUUCGGAUUGGAAAGGACUUUAAGC
RNAcentral lists this ribosomal RNA (381 nucleotides) under Pseudomonas sp. RNAcentral's name for it is "bacterial SSU rRNA". It matches the Rfam family "Bacterial small subunit ribosomal RNA", at positions 54 to 440 of the family's 1533-position model. Lineage: Bacteria; Pseudomonadati; Pseudomonadota; Gammaproteobacteria; Pseudomonadales; Pseudomonadaceae. The record is from RNAcentral.